UGGGGAAUAUUGCACAAUGGGCGCAACCCUGAUGCAGCCAUGCCGCGUGUAUGAAGAAGGCCUUCGGGUUGUAAAGUACUUUCAGUCGGGAGGAAGGUGUCAAGGUUAAUAACCUUGGCAAUUGACGUUACCGACAGAAGAAGCACCGGCUAACUCCGUGCCAGCAGCCGCGGUAAUACGGAGGGUGCAAGCGUUAAUCGGAAUUACUGGGCGUAAAGCGCACGCAGGCGGUUGAUUGAGUCAGAUGUGAAAUCCCCGGGCUUAACCCGGGAAUUGCAUCUGAUACUGGUCAGCUAGAGUCUUGUAGAGGGGGGUAGAAUUCCAUGUGUAGCGGUGAAAUGCGUAGAGAUGUGGAGGAAUACCGGUGGCGAAGGCGGCCCCCUGGACAAAGACUGACGCUCAGGUGCGAAAGCGUGGGGAGCAAACAGG
Molecule: ribosomal RNA, 429 nt
Filed under: Chloroflexota bacterium
Lineage: Bacteria; Bacillati; Chloroflexota
Description: Chloroflexi bacterium partial 16S ribosomal RNA
Rfam family: Bacterial small subunit ribosomal RNA
Source: RNAcentral